CUUUAUGGCAAAUGUGAGAUGCAGUGUAUGGAAUGUCAAAUUUCUAGUAUGAGAAAUUAACGAUUUAAGUCCUUCUUAAAUGAGGCCAUUUACCCAUAGAGGGUGCCAGGCCCGUAUAACGUUAAUGAUUACUAGAUGGCAUUUCCAAAGAGUCGUGUUGCUUGAUAGUGCAGCACUAAGUGGGUGGUAAACUCCAUCUAAAACUAAAUAUAACCAUGAGACCGAUAGUAAACAAGUACCGUGAGGGAAAGUUGAAAAGAACUCUGAAUAGAGAGUUAAAUAGUACGUGAAACUGCUUAGAGGUUAAGCCCGAUGAACCUGAAUAUCCAUUAUAGAAAAUUCAUCAUUAUGAUUUUAAUAUUUAUAAUAUUAUAAUAAUGGUGUGCAUUUUUUCUAUAACGGACAUUGUAAUCUAUUAACAUAAAUAUAUUUAUCAUAAGAUCAAUGAUGCGUAAGUUUAUUCAAAUUAUUUUGCUUGCAAUUUAACAUAGAAUAAAUGCUCUUGAUUUGAUAAAGUGUUGAUAGAUUUAUUGUAUAUAGUGCUUAAAUAUUUAUAUUUUAUAAUAGCAUAUUAAUCAUUGAUUUUUAUGUUUAUUAUAUGCACUUAUAUGAUUAACAAUGCGAAAGAUUCAGGAUACCUUCGGGACCCGUCUUGAAACACGGACCAAGGAGUCUAACAUAUUUGCAAGUUAUUGGGUAUAUAAACCUAAUAGCGAAAUUAACAUAACUUAAUGGGAUUAGUUUUUAGAUUGUACGAUCUAUUAAUUCAAUCCCGGGGCGUUCUAUAUAGUUAUGUAUAAUAAUAUUUAUAUUAUUUAUACCUCUAACUAGAGCGUACCUUGAGCAUAUAUGCUGUGACCCGAA
This 864-nucleotide ribosomal RNA is filed under the name Sarcophaga currani. RNAcentral describes it as "eukaryotic LSU rRNA". It matches the Rfam family "Eukaryotic large subunit ribosomal RNA", at positions 125 to 820 of the family's 3401-position model. The record is from RNAcentral. Lineage: Eukaryota; Metazoa; Arthropoda; Insecta; Diptera; Sarcophagidae.